This 438-nucleotide ribosomal RNA is filed under the name Idas modiolaeformis. RNAcentral describes it as "partial 16S ribosomal RNA". It matches the Rfam family "Bacterial large subunit ribosomal RNA", at positions 1915 to 2600 of the family's 2925-position model. Lineage: Eukaryota; Metazoa; Mollusca; Bivalvia; Mytilida; Modiolidae. The record is from RNAcentral.
UCUGUGAAGUAAAUGGCUGCAUAAAUCUGAGUGUACUAAGGUAGCGCUAUAAUUUGCCUUUUAAAUGGGGGCUGGUAUGAACGGGUUCACGUGAGAGUUGCUGUGUCAUAAAAAUUUUUUGAAAUUAACCUUUAGGUGAAGAGGCCUAAGUAAAAUUAAAGGACGACAAGACCCUAGAAGCUUUACUAAGGGUAGGUUAAUAUGUUAAUUUAUUUAAGUUUUGUUGGGGCAACAUAGUUAGAAAGUAUAACUUGUUUUUAUAAACUGACAAGUUAAAACCACAUUGGUGAAUAAGAUAAGCUACUCUAGGGAUAACAGCGUUAUUUUUUUUAAUAGUACGUAUUGUAAAAAAAGUUUGCGACCUCGAUGUUGGACUAAGGUGUCCUUAAGGUGUAGAAGUCUUAAAGGGUUGGCCUGUUCGUCCAUUAAAACCUUACA